This 208-nucleotide ribosomal RNA is filed under the name uncultured bacterium. RNAcentral's name for it is "partial 16S ribosomal RNA". It matches the Rfam family "Bacterial small subunit ribosomal RNA", at positions 524 to 728 of the family's 1533-position model. The record is from RNAcentral.
GACGAAGGGGGCUAGCGUUGUUCGGAAUUACUGGGCGUAAAGCGCGUGUAGGCGGUUGUCCAAGUUGGAUGUGAAAGCCUUGAGCUUAACUCCAAGAAAUGCAUUCAGGACUGGAUGACUAGAGGACCGGAGAGGAUAGUGGAAUUCCCAGUGUAGUGGUGAAAUACGUAGAGAUUGGGAAGAACACCAGUCGGCGAAGGCGGACUCA